ACCAAGGAGACUAACGCACGCGCAAGUCAGAGUGUUUUCUCCGACACACCCCGUGGCGCAAUGAAAGUGAGGGCCGGCGCGCGCUGGCUGAGGUGGGAUCCCGGCCCUACGGGGUUGGGCGCACCACCGGCCCGUCUCGCCCGCUCUGUCGGGGAGGUGGAGCGUGAGCGUGUGCGAUAGGACCCGAAAGAUGAUGAACUAUGCAUGGGCGGUCCUGACGUGCAAAUCGGUUGUCCGAUCACCGCGGUGAGCACGGAAGCUGGGCGGGAAACCCGAGAGAGGGGCCCAAGCCCUGGAAAGAGUCGCAGUUCCGGCGGCGUCCGGUGAGCUCUUGCUGGCCCUUGAAAAUCCGUAAGAGAGGGUGUAAAUCUCACGUCGGGCCGUACCCAUAUCCGCAGCAGGUCUCCAAGGGCAACAUCCUCUGGCA
Non-coding RNA from Salmo salar (Atlantic salmon), 427 nucleotides. NCBI's taxonomy places the organism in Eukaryota, Metazoa, Chordata, Actinopteri, Salmoniformes, Salmonidae. The record is from Rfam.